CGCAGAGUGACGCCCCGAAAGGGGCGGUAAUGCGGGCGAGGCUUUGCCUCGGCGGUCACAACCCCGC
RNAcentral lists this non-coding RNA (67 nucleotides) under unclassified sequences. The record is from RNAcentral.